Molecule: ribosomal RNA, 497 nt
Filed under: uncultured bacterium
Lineage: Bacteria
Description: partial 16S ribosomal RNA
Rfam family: Bacterial small subunit ribosomal RNA
Source: RNAcentral
GAUGAACGCUGGCGGCGUGCCUAAUACAUGCAAGUCGAGCGAACGGACGAGAAGCUUGCUUCUCUGAUGUUAGCGGCGGACGUGUGAGUAACACGUGGAUAACCUACCUAUAAUACUGGGAUAACUUCGGGAAACCGUAGCUAAUACCGGCUAAUAUUUUGAACCGCAUGGUUCAAAAGUGAAAGACGGUCUUGCUGUCACUUAUAGCUGGAUCCGCGCUGCAUUAGCUAGUUGGUAAGGUAACGGCUUACCAAGGCAACGAUGCAUAGCCGACCUGAGAGGGUGAUCGGCAACACUGGAACUGAGACACGGACCAGACUACUACGGGAGGCAGCAGUAGGGAAUAUUCCGCAAAGGGCGAAAGCAUGACGGAGCAACGCCGCGUGAGUGAUGAAGGUCUUCGGAUCGUAAAACUCUGUUAUUAGGGAAGAAAAUAUGUGGAAGUAAAUGUGCACAUCUUGACGGUAACUAAUCAGAAAGCCACGGCUAACUACGUG